RNAcentral lists this long non-coding RNA (364 nucleotides) under Gossypium barbadense (sea-island cotton). RNAcentral's name for it is "long non-coding RNA (GBAR_LNC016485)". Lineage: Eukaryota; Viridiplantae; Streptophyta; Magnoliopsida; Malvales; Malvaceae. The record is from RNAcentral.
GACUGUAACCAUAAUUUUCGUGGAUGUCCUACAACAAAAGAAGUCUGGAAACUCACACAGCUAUCUUGGAUACUCAAUAAUACUCAAGAUACUUUAUGGAACUGGCUUACAUGGGUUUUUUGUCGCGGAUCAAAUGAACAGUGCCGACUUUUCUGUUGCGGGCUUUGGAUCAUCUGGACAAGCAGGAACAAAUUUGUUUAUGAAAACAAACAAUCAACAAGCAGGGACAUUUCUAUUAAAAUUUUAGAUUUUAUCUCCGAACUAAGAGGAAUUGAGGAGAAGAAACUCAUCUUGGCUGGAAAUGGUGGUCCGAGAACUGAAGAGAGAAGAACGAGCACAUUAGUCUACUUUGAUGCGACCUUUG